AAAGGCGCUUUCGGGUGUCGCUGAUGGAUGGACCCGCGGUGCAUUAGCUAGUUGGUGAGGUAACGGCUCACCAAGGCCACGAUGCAUAGCCGACCUGAGAGGGUGAUCGGCCACAUUGGGACUGAGACACGGCCCAAACUCCUACGGGAGGCAGCAGUAGGGAAUCUUCGGCAAUGGACGAAAGUCUGACCGAGCAACGCCGCGUGAGUGAAGAAGGUUUUCGGAUCGUAAAACUCUGUUGUUAGAGAAGAACAAGGAUGAGAGUAACUGUUCAUCCCUUGACGGUAUCUAACCAGAAAGCCACGGCUAACUACGUGCCAGCAGCCGCGGUAAUACGUAGGUGGCAAGCGUUGUCCGGAUUUAUUGGGCGUAAAGCGAGCGCAGGCGGUUUCUUAAGUCUGAUGUGAAAGCCCCCGGCUCAACCGGGGAGGGUCAUUGGAAACUGGGAGACUUGAGUGCAGAAGAGGAGAGUGGAAUUCCAUGUGUAGCGGUGAAAUGCGUAGAUAUAUGGAGGAACACCAGUGGCGAAGGCGGCUCUCUGGUCUGUAACUGACGCUGAGGCUCGAAAGCGUGGGGAGCAAACAGGAUUAGAUACCCUGGUAGUCCACGCCGUAAACGAUGAGUGCUAAGUGUUGGAGGGUUUCCGCCCUUCAGUGCUGCAGCUAACGCAUUAAGCACUCCGCCUGGGGAGUACGACCGCAAGGUUGAAACUCAAAGGAAUUGACGGGGGCCCGCACAAGCGGUGGAGCAUGUGGUUUAAUUCGAAGCAACGCGAAGAACCUUACCAGGUCUUGACAUCCUUUGACCACUCUAGAGAUAGAGCUUCCCCUUCGGGGGCAAAGUGACAGGUGGUGCAUGGUUGUCGUCAGCUCGUGUCGUGAGAUGUUGGGUUAAGUCCCGCAACGAGCGCAACCCUUAUUGUUAGUUGCCAUCAUUCAGUUGGGCACUCUAGCAAGACUGCCGGUGACAAACCGGAGGAAGGUGGGGAUGACGUCAAAUCAUCAUGCCCCUUAUGACCUGGGCUACACACGUGCUACAAUGGGAAGUACAACGAGUUGCGAAGUCGCGAGGCUAAGCUAAUCUCUUAAAGCUUCUCUCAGUUCGGAUUGCAGGCUGCAACUCGCCUGCAUGAAGCCGGAAUCGCUAGUAAUCGCGGAUCAGCACGCCGCGGUGAAUACGUUCCCGGGCCUUGUACACACCGCCCGUCACACCACGAGAGUUUGUAACACCCG
RNAcentral lists this ribosomal RNA (1232 nucleotides) under Enterococcus faecium. Its description in RNAcentral is "bacterial SSU rRNA". It matches the Rfam family "Bacterial small subunit ribosomal RNA", at positions 202 to 1423 of the family's 1533-position model. Lineage: Bacteria; Bacillati; Bacillota; Bacilli; Lactobacillales; Enterococcaceae. The record is from RNAcentral.